AACGAACGCUGGCGGCAGGCCUAACACAUGCAAGUCGAGCGCGCCCUUCGGGGUGAGCGGCGGACGGGUGAGUAACGCGUGGGAACGUGCCCUUUUCUACGGAAUAGCCUCGGGAAACAGAGAGUAAUACCGUAUACGCCCUUUGGGGGAAAGAUUUAUCGGAAAAGGAUCGGCCCGCGUUGGAUUAGGUAGUUGGUGGGGUAAUGGCCUACCAAGCCGACGAGCCAUAGCUGGUUUGUGAGGAUGAUCAGCCACACUGGGACUGAGACACGGCCCAGACUCCUACGGGAGGCAGCAGUGGGGAAUCUUAGACAAUGGGGGCAACCCUGAUCUAGCCAUGCCGCGUGAGUGAUGAAGGCCUUAGGGUUGUAAAGCUCUUUCAGCUGGGAAGAUAAUGACGGUACCAGCAGAAGAAGCCCCGGCUAACUCCGUG
Molecule: ribosomal RNA, 433 nt
Filed under: uncultured bacterium
Lineage: Bacteria
Description: partial 16S ribosomal RNA
Rfam family: Bacterial small subunit ribosomal RNA
Source: RNAcentral